This 483-nucleotide ribosomal RNA is filed under the name uncultured marine eukaryote. RNAcentral's name for it is "partial 18S ribosomal RNA". It matches the Rfam family "Eukaryotic small subunit ribosomal RNA", at positions 583 to 947 of the family's 1831-position model. The record is from RNAcentral.
UUCCAGCUCUAAUAGCGUAUAUUAAUAUUGUUGCAGUUAAAAAGCUCGUAGUUGAAACUUGAACACCUCAAUAAGUUUGGUCUACCUUUUAAGGUUUGACUACUUGUUAGUGUUCUUCCUACUGGUAACUCGAUUAUGUUCUUAAUUGAAUGUAAUAGCUAUCUUUCGGGAUAGUCAUCUAGUGUGAACAGCUCCACCAUAUCAGUGGCGAUGUGUAAAAGCAUUUAAAUUGAAUGAGUGGAUCAAGUUGAUUAUAUUAGAUGGAGUUCCAGUUCGUUUACUUUGAGAAAAUUAGAGUGUUUAAAGCAGCCUCUUGGGGCUCUGAAUACAUUAGCAUGGGAUAAUAGAAUAGGAUUUUAAGUCACUAUAUUUGUUUGGUUUUGUAAUGAAUUAAAUAAUGAUUAAGAGGGACAGUUGGGGGUAGUUUAUAUUGGAUGGUUAGCGGGUGAAAUGCAUGGAUCCAUUCAAGAUAAACUAAAAGCG